CAGGGAAUCUUCUGCAAUGGACGCAAGUCUGACGGAGCAACGCCGCGUGAGUGAAGAAGGAUUUCGGUUCGUAAAACUCUGUUGUUAGAGAAGAACAGCGCAUAGAGUAACUGUUAUGCGUGUGACGGUAUCUAACCAGAAAGCCACGGCUAACUACGUGCCAGCAGCCGCGGUAAUACGUAGGUGGCAAGCGUUGUCCGGAUUUAUUGGGCGUAAAGCGAGCGCAGGCGGUUAGAUAAGUCUGAAGUUAAAGGCAGUGGCUCAACCAUUGUAGGCUUUGGAAACUGUUUAACUUGAGUGCAGAAGGGGAGAGUGGAAUUCCAUGUGUAGCGGUGAAAUGCGUAGAUAUAUGGAGGAACACCGGUGGCGAAAGCGGCUCUCUGGUCUGUAACUGACGCUGAUGUGCGAAAGCGUGGGGAUCAAACAGG
Molecule: ribosomal RNA, 428 nt
Filed under: Bacteroidota bacterium
Lineage: Bacteria; Pseudomonadati; Bacteroidota
Description: Bacteroidetes bacterium partial 16S ribosomal RNA
Rfam family: Bacterial small subunit ribosomal RNA
Source: RNAcentral